GGCCUUAUAUUCAACAAUGAUUUUAAAUUGCAAAUUUAAAGGUGGAGUGAUCCUAAGGCUU
Molecule: transfer RNA, 61 nt
Filed under: Ochthebius atriceps
Lineage: Eukaryota; Metazoa; Arthropoda; Insecta; Coleoptera; Hydraenidae
Description: tRNA-Cys
Source: RNAcentral